AAUGAACGCUGGCGGCAGGCCUAACACAUGCAAGUCGAACGGAUCCUUCGGGAUUAGUGGCGGACGGGUGAGUAACGCGUGGGAACAUACCCUUUGGUACGGAAUAGCCUCGGGAAACUGGGAGUAAUACCGUAUGUGGUCGAGAGACGAAAGAUUUAUCGCCAAAGGAUUGGCCCGCGUUGGAUUAGGUAGUUGGUGGGGUAAUGGCCUACCAAGCCGACGAUCCAUAGCUGGUUUGAGAGGAUGAUCAGCCACACUGGGACUGAGACACGUCCCAGACUCCUACGGGAGGCAGCAGUGGUGAAUCUUAGACAAUGGGGGAAACCCUGUUCUAGCCAUGCCGCGUGUUCGAUGAAGGCCUUAGGGUUGUAAAGAUCUUUCAGGUGGGAAGAUAAUGACUGUACCACCAGAAGAAGCCCCGGCUAACUCCGUGCCAGCCGCCGCCGUAA
RNAcentral lists this ribosomal RNA (449 nucleotides) under uncultured bacterium. RNAcentral's name for it is "partial 16S ribosomal RNA". It matches the Rfam family "Bacterial small subunit ribosomal RNA", at positions 29 to 523 of the family's 1533-position model. The record is from RNAcentral.